UGGGGAAUUUUGGACAAUGGGCGAAAGCCUGAUCCAGCAAUGCCGCGUGUGUGAAGAAGGCCUUCGGGUUGUAAAGCACUUUUGUCCGGAAAGAAAUCCUUGGCUCUAAUACAGUCGGGGGAUGACGGUACCGGAAGAAUAAGCACCGGCUAACUACGUGCCAGCAGCCGCGGUAAUACGUAGGGUGCAAGCGUUAAUCGGAAUUACUGGGCGUAAAGCGUGCGCAGGCGGUUUGCUAAGACCGAUGUGAAAUCCCCGGGCUCAACCUGGGAACUGCAUUGGUGACUGGCAGGCUAGAGUAUGGCAGAGGGGGGUAGAAUUCCACGUGUAGCAGUGAAAUGCGUAGAGAUGUGGAGGAAUACCGAUGGCGAAGGCAGCCCCCUGGGCCAAUACUGACGCUCAUGCACGAAAGCGUGGGGAGCAAACAGGAUUAGAUACCCUGGUAGUCCACGCCCUAAAACGAUGUCAACUAGUUGCUGGGGAUUCAUUUCCUUAGUAACGUAGCUAACGCGUGAAGUUGACCGCCUGGGGAGUACGGUCGCAAGAUUAAAACUUAAAUGAAUUGACGGGGUCAUAGCUGUUUCCU
RNAcentral lists this ribosomal RNA (586 nucleotides) under uncultured bacterium. RNAcentral describes it as "partial 16S ribosomal RNA". It matches the Rfam family "Bacterial small subunit ribosomal RNA", at positions 355 to 1375 of the family's 1533-position model. The record is from RNAcentral.